GUCGAGAAUCUUUCACAAUGGGGGCAACCCUGAUGGAGCGACGCCGCGUGGAGGAUAAGGUCUUCGGAUUGUAAACUCCUGUCAUGCGUGAACAAGGUUGCUUGGUUAAUACCUGGGCAAAUUGAUGGUAACGCAAGAGGAAGAGACGGCUAACUCUGUGCCAGCAGCCGCGGUAAUACAGAGGUCUCAAGCGUUGUUCGGAAUCACUGGGCGUAAAGGGUGCGUAGGUGGCGUGGUAAGUCAGAUGUGAAAGCCCGGGGCUCAACCUCGGAACUGCAUCCGAUACUGCCAUGCUAGAGUACUGGAGAGGUGACUAGAAUUCUCGGUGUAGCAGUGAAAUGCGUAGAUAUCGAGAGGAAUACCAAAGGCGUAGGCAGGUCACUGGACAGUUACUGACACUGAGACACGAAGGCCAGGGGAGCGAACGGGAUUAGAUACCCUGGUAGUCC
RNAcentral lists this ribosomal RNA (449 nucleotides) under uncultured bacterium. RNAcentral's name for it is "partial 16S ribosomal RNA". It matches the Rfam family "Bacterial small subunit ribosomal RNA", at positions 354 to 796 of the family's 1533-position model. The record is from RNAcentral.